This 713-nucleotide ribosomal RNA is filed under the name Bacillus sp. (in: firmicutes). RNAcentral's name for it is "bacterial SSU rRNA". It matches the Rfam family "Bacterial small subunit ribosomal RNA", at positions 56 to 752 of the family's 1533-position model. The record is from RNAcentral. Lineage: Bacteria; Bacillati; Bacillota; Bacilli; Caryophanales; Bacillaceae.
UGCAGUCGAGCGGACAGAUGGGAGCUUGCUCCCUGAUGUUAGCGGCGGACGGGUGAGUAACACGUGGGUAACCUGCCUGUAAGACUGGGAUAACUCCGGGAAACCGGGGCUAAUACCGGAUGCUUGUUUGAACCGCAUGGUUCAAACAUAAAAGGUGGCUUCGGCUACCACUUACAGAUGGACCCGCGGCGCAUUAGCUAGUUGGUGAGGUAAUGGCUCACCAAGGCGACGAUGCGUAGCCGACCUGAGAGGGUGAUCGGCCACACUGGGACUGAGACACGGCCCAGACUCCUACGGGAGGCAGCAGUAGGGAAUCUUCCGCAAUGGACGAAAGUCUGACGGAGCAACGCCGCGUGAGUGAUGAAGGUUUUCGGAUCGUAAAGCUCUGUUGUUAGGGAAGAACAAGUACCGUUCGAAUAGGGCGGUACCUUGACGGUACCUAACCAGAAAGCCACGGCUAACUACGUGCCAGCAGCCGCGGUAAUACGUAGGUGGCAAGCGUUGUCCGGAAUUAUUGGGCGUAAAGGGCUCGCAGGCGGUUUCUUAAGUCUGAUGUGAAAGCCCCCGGCUCAACCGGGGAGGGUCAUUGGAAACUGGGGAACUUGAGUGCAGAAGAGGAGAGUGGAAUUCCACGUGUAGCGGUGAAAUGCGUAGAGAUGUGGAGGAACACCAGUGGCGAAGGCGACUCUCUGGUCUGUAACUGACGCUGAGGA